GUCAGGAAAGGUUGAAAGGCAGCUGCAGCUGCUUCCAGAUGCCGCUACACUACCCGAGAUAUACUAAGGCCGAUUACGAGUCUAUGCAGGAGUGGAAACCCGAUUGCCUCCUCAGAGAGUACGGGCUGCCGGUGACCGGUGAUGUGGAGUACAAGAGGAAGUUGGUAAUGGGUGCUUUUCUUUGGUCUAAUAAGUAGACAUAUUAG
Molecule: unclassified non-coding RNA, 206 nt
Filed under: Hevea brasiliensis (rubber tree)
Lineage: Eukaryota; Viridiplantae; Streptophyta; Magnoliopsida; Malpighiales; Euphorbiaceae
Source: RNAcentral